This 484-nucleotide ribosomal RNA is filed under the name uncultured bacterium. Its description in RNAcentral is "partial 16S ribosomal RNA". It matches the Rfam family "Bacterial small subunit ribosomal RNA", at positions 30 to 507 of the family's 1533-position model. The record is from RNAcentral.
AUUGAACGCUGGCGGCAGGCCUAACACAUGCAAGUCGAGCGGCUGAAGGGUAAUUGCUCCUGGAUUCAGGUGGGGACUAGCGAAUAAUGCCUGGGAACAUCCCUGGCUGCGGGUUCUAAGGUCCGAACAUGGGGGAUCAUACGCUAUACCUCCAGAGGACCUACGUGGGGGAGCUUCGGACCUUACGACCUCGGAUGAGCCUAGGUCGGAUUAGCUAGUUGGUGGGGUAAAGGCCUACCAAGGCGACGAUCCGUAGCUGGUCUGAGAGGAUGAUCAGUCACACUGGAACUGAGACACGGUCCAGACUCCUACGGGAGGCAGCAGUGGGGAAUAUUGGACAAUGGGCGAAAGCCUGAUCCAGCCAUGCCGCGUGUGUGAAGAAGGUCUUCGGAUUGUAAAGCCCUUUAGUUUGGGAAGAAAAGCAGUAAGUUAAUACCUUGCUGUUUUGACGGUACCAAAAGAAUAAGCACCGGCUAACUUCGUG